Molecule: ribosomal RNA, 646 nt
Filed under: Triticum aestivum (bread wheat)
Lineage: Eukaryota; Viridiplantae; Streptophyta; Magnoliopsida; Poales; Poaceae
Description: partial small subunit ribosomal RNA
Source: RNAcentral
CCCAUACCUCCGAUUCGGUGGAAUCACGCGGAACCGCUCGCUCUCCCCUCUCAGACGUGAAACACUAUCGUCUCUCCCUCUCUCGAACUGCGUCGCCUCUCCCUCGUCUCUCCCUCUGCCGAUCUGUCCGGCAUGACCACCGGAGGAGAUGGGAUGGUUGACCGAAGAGGAGGAGGUGCAGAGUGUGAGCGGCUGUGGGGCAGCGGGCUUGCAUCGGGGCAACACCAAACCGCAUGACAUGGAGCGGCGGCGGCUCCCGAAACAAGACGCCACAGCGGUGCACCUCACGCGACGGCGGAAGAAACCGACCUCGCCUCAAGCGGCAGCGGAAGGGGAAGCAUGAGGUGUGGCUGGUUCUUGCCGGCGGCGGCCUGACUUGCUGUUCCAAAUUGUUUGUGCUGCUAUGUUGUGCGAUGCGAUACUAUCCUGGAGACCCAAACUUUAGAUCCAUACAUUCAGUUUAUGCAUAGUGUUUAUGUGCUGAAGCAUGAACUAGAGGGGAAGAAUAUAUUUAUCAUGCUUCACACUGUCAAAUUAUUUGUGUUGCAAAAUUUACCGAUUCCAUCUCUUCAGUUCGUUCUUGUGGCACUUUCAAAAUUUUAUCACUGAGUUCAUGCUAGUGACACCGUCAAAUUUAGAGGGGAAG